This 468-nucleotide ribosomal RNA is filed under the name uncultured bacterium. Its description in RNAcentral is "partial 16S ribosomal RNA". It matches the Rfam family "Bacterial small subunit ribosomal RNA", at positions 28 to 507 of the family's 1533-position model. The record is from RNAcentral.
GACGAACGCUGGCGGCGUGCUUAACACAUGCAAGUCGAACGGAAAGGCCCUGCUUUUGUGGGGUGCUCGAGUGGCGAACGGGUGAGUAACACGUGAGUAACCUGCCCUUGACUUUGGGAUAACUUCAGGAAACUGGGGCUCAUACCGGAUAGGAGCUCCUGCUGCAUGGUGGGGGAUGGAAAGUUUCGGCGGUUGGGGAUGGACUCGCGGCUUAUCAGCUGGUUGGUGGGGUAGUGGCUUACCAAGGCUUUGACGGGUAGCCGGCCUGAGAGGGUGACCGGCCACAUUGGGACUGAGAUACGGCCCAGACUCCUACGGGAGGCAGCAGUGGGGAAUAUUGCACAAUGGGCGGAAGCCUGAUGCAGCAACGCCGCGUGCGGGAUGACGGCCUUCGGGUUGUAAACCGCUUUCGCCUGUGACGAAGCGUGAGUGACGGUAAUGGGUAAAGAAGCACCGGCUAACUACGUG